This 1689-nucleotide long non-coding RNA is filed under the name Brassica napus (rape). Its description in RNAcentral is "long non-coding RNA (BNAP_LNC023255)". The record is from RNAcentral. Lineage: Eukaryota; Viridiplantae; Streptophyta; Magnoliopsida; Brassicales; Brassicaceae.
GGAAAGUAAGCUGCUGAUUCUUUUUGGUAAGUAUUGAAGGUUUAUUAUAUACACGAAACUGAACUUUGCUUGGUACUAGAUUCCCGUUGAAAGCUGCUGGAGUGAUGCACACUGUUGCACUGCGAACAGAAGCCACCAUUACUACUAGUAGUGAAAUGCCAGCUAAUCUUGGCCAAGCCUUUAAGGUAAGCCGCACCAUUUGAGUAUUUAUAUCUAGGGGUGAGUCUUGCUUUACUCACAAGAAAAAUGUUAACAGAACCAUAUGAGUGAGAUGUUUGCAUACCAUGCAACCAUGAUGUCAAACACACUUGGAACUUCAACUGUUGUCUUCACAAGAAGUGGUUUCAUGGCCAUACUACUAAGUCACUAUCGCCCUUCCGGCACUAUCUAUGCUUUCACGAACGAGUGAGUAUUCCAUGUUUAUUCUUCCAGAUCAAAUGACUGUGGCAUCUGGUAAAUUUAAGAACUCAUGGUUAGAGAGGUUUUUGCUUCCGCAGGAAAAAAAUACAGCAAAGAUUAGCGUUGUAUCAAGGUGUAUGUCCCAUAUAUAUGGAGUUCUCAGAUGAUGCAGAAGAGACUUUCGCUAAUGCUUUGGCUACACUACUGGUAAAUUCAAAAGAGUCCCUUAGAAAGAAACUCAGUGUUAAAUAACUAGAUUAAACUCGGUAGACGUUGUGUGGUUGUGGGUAUAAAAGUUUGGUAACCUGUGGAUAAACAGAAACAAGGAAUGGUGAAGAAGGGAGAGGAAAUAGCGAUUGUGCAGAGCGGGUCACAACCAAUCUGGAGAUCUCAAUCGACUCAUAACAUUCAAGUCCGCAAGGUGUAAAAGCCUCUUAAGGCGUCUCAAUGUUUCACCUGGUCAGAGUGUUCUUUUAAUUUUUCUGUGAAACUGGUUUGCGGUUAAUUUUCUUUGCACGUCCUUGUAUUGUGUACUCUAAAACUUUCUGUUUACUGUUUCUUAUUCAGUUUGCUUUACCAUGAUUGUGUUUCUGGCAGACAUUUAUGGGAAGAUUUUAAUUUAGAUGAGUAAUAAAUGUUUUAGAAACGUCUAAAUACAAACCUAUAUUGUUUUAUUGUAAAUUUGAAGAUGCAACCAAGUGUGUAAGGACUAUUAAAGAUCAGAAAAUUAGGGGAAAAUUGACUUUUUAAUCCUAAACUUUAAAAAAUAAGCCAAAAAAAACCAUGAACUCCAAAAUACGUCAUUUAAAUCAUGAACUCUUAGUCAAACACGAAAAAAACAUGAACUAUCGUUGACCAAGCCCAUUUAACUCCAUAAUUAAUCAGCCGUUAAUUAAUAGCUAACAGACGUUAAAUGUCUAACCGUUGUCAUUUUGACAAAACGAAAUAACCCUACUCUAGACCCAAAAAUCCCUAAUUCAUCUCCCUCAAAUCUCUAAUUUUUCAUCUAUUUCUCUCUUCACAAAACACAGAGCUCAAUCUCAAACAUCUCUCUAACUCAUCUACUUCUUCAUAUCUUUCUCUAGCAUCAUGAACCGUGGAACAUAUCCAUGGAACACACACAUACACACUAUCAUACAGACAAUGAAAAUCAAUUGAAUAUUGUUGAGCGCAGUGGAAGAAGAACAAAAUAACAUACACCCGAAUCGGAAAUAGACCACCUGAUAAACACCAAACAAAUUAUGAGGGGGAAAUGCUGAGGAAGAAGCCCAAGUUCAUAUAGAAAUAAAC